Molecule: ribosomal RNA, 253 nt
Filed under: uncultured bacterium
Lineage: Bacteria
Description: partial 16S ribosomal RNA
Rfam family: Bacterial small subunit ribosomal RNA
Source: RNAcentral
UACAGAGGGUGCAAGCGUUAAUCGGAAUUACUGGGCGUAAAGCGCACGUAGGCGGCUUGGUAUGUCGGGUGUGAAAUCCCCGGGCUCAACCUGGGAACUGCAUCCGAAACUGGCUUGCUGGAGUAUGGGAGAGGGAAGCGGAAUUUCCGGUGUAGCGGUGAAAUGCGUAGAUAUCGGAAGGAACAUCAGUGGCGAAGGCGGCUUCCUGGACCAAUACUGACGCUCAGGUGCGAAAGCGUGGGGAGCAAACAGG